Non-coding RNA from Podarcis lilfordi (Lilford's wall lizard), 79 nucleotides. The record is from the annotation of a GenBank genome assembly. NCBI's taxonomy places the organism in Eukaryota, Metazoa, Chordata, Lepidosauria, Squamata, Lacertidae.
UCUUGGAUAGCUCAGUCAGCAGAGCAUGGGACUCUUAAUCUUACGGUCGUGGGUUCAAGCCCCACAUUGGGCCAAAGAU